UGGGGAAUAUUGCACAAUGGGCGCAAGCCUGAUGCAGCGACGCCGCGUGAGGGACGAAGGCCUUCGGGUUGUAAACCUCUUCGCCAGUGAAGCAGGCCGCUUCCUUGUGGGGUGGUUGACGGUAGCUGGGGUAAGAAGCGCCGGCUAACUACGUGCCAGCAGCCGCGGUAAUACGUAGGGCGCGAGCGUUGUCCGGAAUUAUUGGGCGUAAAGAGCUCGUAGGCGGCUGGUCGCGUCUGUCGUGAAAUCCUCUGGCUCAACCGGGGGUCUGCGGUGGGUACGGGCCGGCUUGAGUGCGGUAGGGGAGACCGGAAUUCCUGGUGUAGCGGUGGAAUGCGCAGAUAUCAGGAGGAACACCGGUGGCGAAGGCGGGUCUCUGGGCCGUUACUGACGCUGAGGAGCGAAAGCGUGGGGGAGCGAACAGGAUUAGAUACCC
This 436-nucleotide ribosomal RNA is filed under the name uncultured bacterium. RNAcentral's name for it is "bacterial SSU rRNA". It matches the Rfam family "Bacterial small subunit ribosomal RNA", at positions 355 to 787 of the family's 1533-position model. The record is from RNAcentral.